RNAcentral lists this ribosomal RNA (774 nucleotides) under uncultured Neocallimastigales. RNAcentral's name for it is "partial large subunit ribosomal RNA". It matches the Rfam family "Eukaryotic large subunit ribosomal RNA", at positions 22 to 642 of the family's 3401-position model. Lineage: Eukaryota; Fungi; Neocallimastigomycota; Neocallimastigomycetes; Neocallimastigales. The record is from RNAcentral.
GUACACGCUGUGACUAGCAUAUCAAUAAGCGGAGGAAAAGAAACUAACAAGGAUUCCCCUAGUAACGGCGAGUGAAGCGGGAAGAGCUCAAAUUUGAAAUCUUAAAGGGUUUCCCUUUACGAAUUGUAGUUUAAAGAAGUGUUUUCUGUUGAGGUUUUGGUAAAAGUUCUUUGGAAUAGGGACAUCAUAGAGGGUGAGAAUCCCGUAUUUGACCUUUACUUUCAACUUUGUGAUACACUUUCAAAGAGUCGGAUUGUUUGGGAAUGCAGUCCAAAAUGGGUGGUAAAUUUCAUCUAAAGCUAAAUAUUGGCGAGAGACCGAUAGCGAACAAGUACCGUGAGGGAAAGAUGAAAAGAACUUUGAAAAGAGAGUUAAACAGUACGUGAAAUUGUCAAAAGGGAAGCGUUUGACACCAGUGUUGUUUUUCUGAAAAUCAAUUAAAGAACUGUUUAUGCUAAGUUGUUUAGACUUUAUCAGCUAACUGUUUAGUUUUGAGCUUUUCUUUAAUGCACUUUUCAGUUAACAAGUCAGCAUCAAUUUCUUUUGCUGUAAAAAAGCUUGAGGAAGGUGGCUUGAGAUUCGUCUUAAGUGUUUAUAGCCUCUUGCCUAUGCAGUCGGAGAGAUUGAGGUCUGCAGCGUAGAUCCUUCGGGGCUAAAUGCAUUUGUGCUAAGUUAUAGCAUUUUAUAGACAACUUGUUGACUAUGAUUUGUCUUGUAGCUUACUCGCUUAUGUUAUUUUACCUACGCUUAGGAUGUUGAAGAUGUAGCACAUCA